This 250-nucleotide ribosomal RNA is filed under the name uncultured bacterium. Its description in RNAcentral is "partial 16S ribosomal RNA". It matches the Rfam family "Bacterial small subunit ribosomal RNA", at positions 524 to 772 of the family's 1533-position model. The record is from RNAcentral.
UACGUAGGGAGCAAGCGUUGUCCGGAUUUAUUGGGCGUAAAGAGCUCGUAGGCGGCUUAGAAAGUCAGAUGUGAAAACUCCAGGCUCAACCUGGAGACGCCAUUUGAUACUUCUAUGGCUUGAGUUCGGUAGGGGACCAUGGAAUUCCUGGUGUAGCGGUGAAAUGCAUAAAUAUCAGGAGGAACACCAAUGGCGAAGGCAGUGGUCUGGGCCGAAACUGACGCUGAGGAGCGAAAGCGUGGGUAGCAAA